Molecule: ribosomal RNA, 468 nt
Filed under: uncultured bacterium
Lineage: Bacteria
Description: partial 16S ribosomal RNA
Rfam family: Bacterial small subunit ribosomal RNA
Source: RNAcentral
GACGAACGCUGGCGGCGUGCUUAACACAUGCAAGUCGAACGGAAAGGCCCUGCUUUUGUGGGGUGCUCGAGUGGCGAACGGGGGAGUAACACGUGAGUAACCUGCCCUUGACUUUGGGAUAACUUCAGGAAACUGGGGCGAAUACCGGAUAGGAGCUCCUGCUGCAUGGUGGGGGUUGGAAAGUUUCGGCGGUUGGGGAUGUACUCGCGGCUUAUCAGCUUGUUGGUGGGGUAGUGGCUUACCAAGGCUUUGACGGGUAGCCGGCCUGAGAGGGUGACCGGGCACAUUGGGACUGAGAUACGGAGCAGACGCGUAUGGGAGGCAGCAGUGGGGAGUAUUGCACAAUGGGCGGAAGCCAGAUGCAGCAACGCCGCGUGCGGGAUGACCGCCUUUGGGUUGUAAACCGCUUUCGCCGGUGACGAAGCGUGAGUGACGGUAAUGGGUAAAGAAGCACCGGCUAACUACGUG